CAGAGAAUAGUUUAUAAAAAAUAGUAAUUUUGGAGAUUACUGAUAAGAAGAAAUUUCUUUUCUCUGA
This 67-nucleotide transfer RNA is filed under the name Euroleon coreanus. RNAcentral describes it as "tRNA-Pro". Lineage: Eukaryota; Metazoa; Arthropoda; Insecta; Neuroptera; Myrmeleontidae. The record is from RNAcentral.